This 721-nucleotide long non-coding RNA is filed under the name Gossypium raimondii (Peruvian cotton). Its description in RNAcentral is "long non-coding RNA (GRAI_LNC009739)". The record is from RNAcentral. Lineage: Eukaryota; Viridiplantae; Streptophyta; Magnoliopsida; Malvales; Malvaceae.
AAAGAUCCGCAGGCUCCAAGGCACUCACAACGAGAGGCCGUUAAGGAAAAGGGAAAAACAAAGGAAGCGUCGUAGGUUGCAAAAAAUGGUCAAAUUAUGAAGAACAUGUGGGCCCCACCAUAAGAUGAUCAAAAAAGAAACCUAAUUACACAUUAAUUAAAAUCUUUUUCUUACAGAAAUACCAGGAAUAUUGUUCAUCAGAUAACAUUUUCGACUGUUCUCUUAUUUUUAACAUUGCUCUGUUCUCUCGAUGAAAAAAUAAAAUAAAAUAAAAAAAGACACAUAAACAACAAAAUAAAAUAAAAACCACUGAUACAGAGAUGAUCAGCUCACGGGGAUUAUGGAAGAAUCAGCGCAGCACUCACCAAUUAGACAGCAGCAACGCAAAGCCGCGAGACAGCCCUCAAGGAAACCAGGCCUUGGAGGUGGAGCAGCAUACUGUGGAGGUGGUGCCAUCACUGGGGGAUAACCUUGAGCAGGGUAAGGAGCAGCAUAAUGUGGAGGUGCAGCAGCAUACUGUGGAGGUGGUGCCAUCGCUGGGGGAUAACCUUGAGGAGGGUAAGGGUCAGGACAAAAAUACUUGGGAUCACUCAUAUUUGGAAACUAAAACUCAAAAAUCAAAAUCUAGUCCAAUUGACAAGUGAUUGAAUGUAGGCGGAAAAUGUUUUAUAGAAAAAAAGGGUUGUCCAAGGGCCUCGCCCCCCACGGGGUAAAAAAGUCA